This 383-nucleotide ribosomal RNA is filed under the name uncultured eukaryote. RNAcentral's name for it is "partial 18S ribosomal RNA". It matches the Rfam family "Eukaryotic small subunit ribosomal RNA", at positions 592 to 976 of the family's 1831-position model. The record is from RNAcentral.
CAAUAGCGUAUAUUAAAGUUGUUGCAGUUAAAAAGCUCGUAGUUGGAUUUCUGGUGGGAGCGAUCGGUCUGGCGCUUAGCGCGAGUACUUGCAUCGUCUCCGGCCAUCCUUGGGGAGAGUCUGUCUGGUAUUAAGUUGUCGGGCAGAGGAUCCUCAUCGUUUACUGUGAAAAAAUUAGAGUGUUCAAAGCAGGCUUAUGCCGUUGAAUAUAUUAGCAUGGAAUAAUAAGAUAGGACUUUGGUACUAUUUUGUUGGUUUGCGCACCAAAGUAAUGAUUAAUAGGGACAGUUGGGGGUAUUCGUAUUCCGUUGUCAGAGGUGAAAUUCUUGGAUUUACGGAAGACGAACUACUGCGAAAGCAUUUACCAAGGAUGUUUUCAUUAA